This 465-nucleotide ribosomal RNA is filed under the name uncultured bacterium. Its description in RNAcentral is "partial 16S ribosomal RNA". It matches the Rfam family "Bacterial small subunit ribosomal RNA", at positions 28 to 507 of the family's 1533-position model. The record is from RNAcentral.
GACGAACGCUGGCGGCGUGCUUAACACAUGCAAGUCGAACGGAAAGGCCCCUUCGGGGGUACUCGAGUGGCGAACAGGUGAGUAACACGUGAGUAACCUGCCCUUGACUUCGGGAUAACUUCAGGAAACUGGGGCUAAUACCGGAUAGGAAUCCUUGCUGCAUGGUGGGGGUUGGAAAGCUUCUGCGGUUUUGGAUGGACUCGCGGCUUAUCAGCUUGUUGGUGGGGUAGUGGCUUACCAAGGCGUUGACGGGUAGCCGGCCUGAGGGGGCGACCGGCCACAUUGGGACUGAGAGACGGCCCAGACGCCGACGGGAGGCAGCAGUGGGGAAUAUUGCACAAUGGGCGGAAGCCUGAUGCAGCAACGCCGCGUGCGGGAUGACGGCCUUCGGGUUGUAAACCGCUUUCAGCAGGGGCGAAGCUUGUGGUGACGGUACCUGCAGAAGAAGCACCGGCUAACUACGUG